ACCUGGUUGAUCCUGCCAGUUGUCAUAUGCUUGUGUAAAAGAUUGAGCCAUGCACAUUGUAAGAGAGAAUAUGAAUAGACAAUUCUUUUUUGUAAAGAAGAGAAAGUGUACUAUGAGAUUGUGAACGGCUCAUUAAAUCAGCAAUAAUUAAUCGGUGGAUGAAAGAGAUUUUGGAGACGGAAUAACUUGAAUUGGGAAAUCUAUAGCUAAUACGUGUAAAGAAAUGCAAUUUGUUAUCGUUUUGGAUGAGCAGGUUGUAGCGCAUAUUAGAUAGAAAAUUUACAAAAGAAAAGAAGGUUUUUUUUUGAUUAAUAAUAUUCCAAGUAGAUCGUAAAAUUCCCCUUGGGGAAGAGACGAUAAACCGAUGAAAUUUCUGCCCUAUCAACUUUGGAUGGUAGUAUAGGGGACUACCAUGGUAAUAACGGGUAACGGACAAUUAGGGUUGGAUACCGGAGAGGGCGCAUGAGAAAUGGCGACUAUGUCCAAGGAUAGCAGCAGGCGCGUAAAUUACCCAAUCCUGUAGACAGGGAGGUAGUGACAGAACAAUAACAAAUCCCUUAUCGAGUAGCAAUUAGAGGGCAAGCUCUGGUGCCAGCAGCCGCGGUAACUCCAGCAUCUAAAAGUGUAUACGAAUGUUGUUGCAGUUAAAACGCUCGUAGUUGGAAAUGAACAUUUGAUUCAUUUGGAGGAAGAAAGAUAUUUCUUUUUUCCGACUGUGAAUUAAAUAUUUAAAUUUUUUAUUAUUUAUAACUUGUAAGAGAAAUAAAUGAUAAUAAUUUACUUUGAAUAAAUUAGAGUGCUUCAAGCGAUUGGAAGAAUUAAAUCGUAAGGUUUAUUCUUUAUUUUAGUAUCGAUUGAAUAAGAAAGCAUGGGAUAAUAGAAAAGGAUUUGAAAGAACUAAAAAGAAUUGACCUUUUUUUCAAUAGAAGAGUGGUUGUUUUAAAUAAUGAUAAAUAGGAACGGUUGGGGGUAUUUGUAUUGAAUAGUCAGAGGUGAAAUUCAAGGAUUUGUUCAAGACAAGCAUCAGCGAAAGCAUUUACCAAGGACGUGUCCAUUAAUCAAGAACGAAAGCUUGGGGAUCGAAGAUGAUCAGAUACCGUCGUAGUCCAAUGCCAUAAACGAUGCCGACCAAAGAUGAGAGGCAACAGUAAAUAAGUUUUAUUAUCUAUUAGUCGAGAAGAUGGUGAUUUCGUAAGGAUGAAUCAGCUUUUUGAUUAAAAUGUAAUAAAAUAAUUCUAAUAAUCGACUCCUUUUGAAUUUUCUCGGGAAACCAAUUGAGUGCUUGGGUUCUGGGGGGAGUACGGUAUCCGCAAGGCUGAAACUUAAAGGAAUUGACGGAAGGGCACCACCAGGUGUGGAAUCUGCGGCUUAAUUCGACUCAACACGGGAAAACUUACCAGGUCCGGACACAGUGAGGAUUGACAGAUUGAAGUUCUUUCUUGAUUUUGUGGUUGGUGGUGCAUGGCCGUUCUUAGUUCGUGGAUGUGAUCUGUCUGCUUAAUUGCGAUAACGAACGAGACCUUAGUUUAUUAAUUAGUCAAUAUGAGAUUUUUCUCAUUAUUGGAAACUAUUGUAUUUAUAUGGUAGUUUCAUUUUUACUUCUUAAAAAGACAAUGUUCAAUUUAUUUAAAAAUACAAGGAAGUUUUCGGCAAUAACAGGUCUGUGAUGCCCUUUAGAUGUUCUGGGCUGCACGCGCGUACACUGAAAGUUGCAGUAAGUAUUUAGAAAUCAUAAUCAUGUGGAUUCG
Molecule: ribosomal RNA, 1748 nt
Filed under: Vexillifera bacillipedes
Lineage: Eukaryota; Discosea; Flabellinia; Dactylopodida; Vexilliferidae
Description: partial small subunit ribosomal RNA
Rfam family: Eukaryotic small subunit ribosomal RNA
Source: RNAcentral